GGCGCUUCCCGCCCCACCCGGCCUCUAGAACAACGGGUUCCCGCUGCUGCCCCCUGCCGCCCGCCGCGGCUUCGACGGAGGCGUCGGGGGGCGCCGCUGCCGUGGGAACCAGACCCGGCACGCACGCUCUAAACCUGCCCGGGGUCCCUGUCAGAAAACUUGCAGCUACUUUCGAGAAGCCGGUUGCGGCCACUUGGGCCCCACAUGCCACUUAGCCUGGCGACCUCUCUUGUACUUUAAAACAACGGGGAACGGGCUGGGACGAAGCGUUGCGCGGCUCUCACUCCGGAAACCAAACCUUAUUUAAUUCGCCGCCUGAUGAAGUCCUCAUCCCGGGUGUCACUAACUGGCCCUUUUUGGGGCUGAACAGUCGCACCCUUCCCAUGCCUCAGUAACUCCAAGAAUUGUCUAAACCUUCACCCUCGUUCCGUUUUCUAGUCGAUCUUGUCCUAAAAUGCAACCCCAUACAGUAGGUACAAGAGGUGGCCACUGUUGCUGCCACCAUUCUACAGAACACCCAGCCGGAGAACAACAGAUCUAGGAUUUGAAUACAGACUGUUUCCAGCUGCUUCCUGUCACCCAAGCUGAUCCUCAUUUAACUGCCCAUGGAAAGAACAGUGACUCCCAAUUCUCCACUUUUCCACGGAGGAUGUCAUCUAUAAUGUGAGCAGCUCCUUGGUUAGGCCAGGCGUUUUUCCUAUGGAACUUCAAGAAAGUGAAAUUUGAGACCUGCUUAGAGGAAGCAUUCCCAAAUCAGAUUACUGUCUUGGAAACCAGCCUCCGACUGUCAGCAUAUGCAUUAUGAGCGCUAACCAGGAGAGACAGCGUUCCGACAGCGGGACACUGGUGCUUUGGAACAUGCCUACCACCUGUUAGAAGAAGCAAGCCGCUGGGAGGACAUCUUGGUACUCUUAGGCUAGUGCAGGUAGAGGUCAGAAGUGAAAGUGGGAAGAGAGGAGGUGGAAGACAAGAGAAAAAUGAGUGUAGUGUGUGUGCACUUCGGAUCUGUAAUCCACUGCAAAGAAUGAAGAUCAGGGUCAUGCAGAAGAGAGAGUGUGGGCGUGUUGUGACAGAGCCACAAAGGGAACAUAAACAUGAAAACUGAGCACAGGGCAGGGAAGGUGUUGGGGAGUCAGAAUGGCUUUUCUCUCCAAGUGGAGCUUCGGAACAGGAAUAAUUUUAGGUUGGAUUAAUGGAAAUACAGCCUCUGGAACAGCGGGAAAAAGCCACUCUCAGCUCUGUUACACCAUUCCUAAGUAACACAUUUUCCUCUAAGUGAUAGAAUAAUGAAAACAACCGAAGCAAAGAGAAGGCUGAAUCUUGCCUGACCAAGAAAGCUGGAUUCAUGAGUGAUGGAAAGCAAUUAGCAAUUAGUAUGGUGUGGUCAUGUGAGCCUGUAAUCCUAGCACUAUGGAGGCAGAGGUUGGAGGAUCACUACAGGUUUGAGGCCAGCCUGAUCUACAUAACAAGUUUCAGGCAAAGACCCUGUUUAAAAAAUUAAACAAAGGAAUCUAACUUGUUCGGGGCCAAAGCAAGGCUCUAGACAGAUGGAAUGGAACUUUCGGCACAUAUUUUAGAAUAAGGAAGAGGUCCUGUAAAUAUAAUCUAGGCCACCUUAGAAUGGAACAAAGUCUGUAUGACUAGCAGCACUGGAAAUGUAUAUUAUCGGGGGCCUGUGUGACACUAUGCCUGUCCCAACAUGUGCCAUUUUCCGGGAUACUAUAGGAAGUGGGAGAACAAUAUAACCUGUUUCAUGAGGCUGCUGAAAAGCAUAGGAUUAGCACUGUUUUGUUUUUCCAGAAACAGUUUCUCUGUGUGGUCCUGUCUGUCCUGAAACUCUGUAGACCAGGCUGGCCUCGAACUCACAGAGAUCCUCCUGCCUCUGCCUCCCGAGUACUGGGAUUAAAGGCAUGCACCAUCACCACCCAGCAAUUAGCUUUGUUUUAAAGUCUACAGGUAAAACAUUCUUGAAAUUCUAGGACUCCAUUUGUUCAUCUUGUUGCUUUUGGGUUGCUGAAGACAAAGGCAGCACCUCGCACAUGCUAGGCAAGCACUCUGUGUGGGAGCUGCAUCUCCAGUUCUUGGCAUUUUGAAAGAGAGUCUAACCUGGGCAGUGGUGUAUGCUUUCAUCCCAGUUCUUGGGGGAGGCAGAUCUUUAAUCCCAGCUGAGAGGCAGCUGGAUCUCUGUGAGUUUGAGACCAACCUGAUCUACAAAGUGAGUUCCAGGACUGCUAAGGGUGUUACACAGAGAAACCCUGUCUCAAAGAAACAGAAAAGGGGGGGAAAAAAAAAAGGAGUGUCUCACUACAUACAAUGCUACCAUAACAACCUCUAAGGUUCAGUAUUUGUGAAUUUAUCAGAGCAAUUUUUUUUUUCUUCAAGACAGGGUUUCUUUGUGUAGCCCUGACUGUCCUGACACUCACUCUGUAGACCAAGCUGACCUCCAACUCAGAAAUCUGCUUGCCUCUGAUUCCUUAGUGGUGGGAUUAAAAGCAUGUGCCACCACUGCCCAACUGAGAGCCAUUAUUUGAUCUUGUGCUUAUAGAUUGAUUGAUUUAUUAUAUUUUGAGGCCGGGUCUUCCUGUGUAGUCCCUGCUGACUUGGAACUUGAGAUCAUCCUGAGACCUCUGCUAGGCAAGCAGUCUACCAUUUGUGUGUGUAUUUUACUUCUGGGAAAAAGCAAACAAAAUCAGGCAUGGAUGCAUUGGAGAAAUAGCUCAGUAGUUAACAGUACUGGCAGAAAACAUGGGUUCAUAUCUUAGCACACACACUAGCUUAAAACCACCUGUAGCGCUGCUGGGGAUGGUGGUGCAGGCCCUUAGUCCCAGCAGAGGCAGGCAGAUCUCUGUGAGUUCAAAGCCAGCCUGGUCUAGAGAGUGAGUUCCAGGACAGCCAGGGUUGUUAUACAGAGAAACCCUGUAUCGAAGGGAAAAAAAAAACUAAGAAAUAGUGACUGCCAUAUACCUCCCUCCCCCAUUUUAGAUGUUCACUAGAGGACCUUAGCUUAAACUUGAUUUGUCCUAUAGAAAGAAACCGGCUUUAACAGGACUGUUGAGUGUCCUUGUUGCCAACACAAGGUAAAAAUCAUUUCACUUCUCUCUUCUUCCAUUCUGUUUUUCUCUUCAUGCUUUAAUCAUUUUGACACCAGGCUGUACAAAAGUAAUUUAAAAUUAAAAUGUCUGACACUUGGA
Non-coding RNA from Myodes glareolus (Bank vole), 3191 nucleotides. The record is from RefSeq and is a predicted model, not a curated record. NCBI's taxonomy places the organism in Eukaryota, Metazoa, Chordata, Mammalia, Rodentia, Cricetidae.